Molecule: ribosomal RNA, 534 nt
Filed under: uncultured archaeon
Lineage: Archaea
Description: bacterial SSU rRNA
Rfam family: Archaeal small subunit ribosomal RNA
Source: RNAcentral
GCGCGACUCCUCAUGCACUAACGUGCGAAGGGGUUACCUCGAGUGCUACCUGAAGAAGGUGGCUUUUCCUUGGUCUAAAAAGCCUCGGGAAUAAGAGGGGGGCAAGACUGGUGUCAGCCGCCGCGGUAACACCAGCCCCUCGAGUGGUGGGGAUGAUUAUUUGGCCUAAAGCGUCCGUAGCCGGCCGGGUAAGUUUCCCGUUAAAUCCAACGUCUCAAGCGUUGGACUGCGGGAAAUACUGCCUGGCUAGAGAGUGGGAGAGGUCAGCGGUAUUCUGGGGGUAGGGGCGAAAUCCUUUGAUCCCCGGAGGACCACCAGUGGCGAAGGCUGCUGACUAGAACACGUCUGACGGUCAGGGACGAAAGCUGGGGUAGCGAACCGGAUUAGAUACCCGGGUAGUCCCAGCCGUAAACGAUGCAUGCUAGGUGUUGGGUUGGCCACGAGCCACCCCAGUGCCGCAGGGAAGCCGUUAAGCAUGCCGCCUGGGAAGUACGAUCGCAAGAUUGAAACUUAAAGGAAUUGGCGGGGGAGCAC